RNAcentral lists this long non-coding RNA (452 nucleotides) under Canis lupus familiaris (dog). RNAcentral describes it as "lncRNA (ENSCAFG00845025219.1)". The record is from RNAcentral. Lineage: Eukaryota; Metazoa; Chordata; Mammalia; Carnivora; Canidae.
GUCUGACUUCCCUGCAGCAUCAGAAGAGGGAGAGACAGACACCAUGAUUCCUGCCAAGAUGCUACUGCUCUUACUGUCAAUGGCUUUGCUGGCCUUGGGCUCUGCUCAGGGCAUCAGUGACGAUAAUGAAUUGUUGAAAGAAAACUCCGGGGAAUCACAAGUCACAUCUCAAGAAGAAAAUGGAGAUCAGAACGGCAAACUGGGCAAAGAUGAAAACAAAGGCAAUGGACAACAGAAGAAGCCUCAUGACCAUGGUGUCCAGGGAGGCCAGGGCGGCCCAUUUAACAUAAGUGGCCCACAUCCCCCACAACGCCCACAUGGCAGCCCAGUUAACAUAAGUGGCCCACAUUGCCCACAUCAUCCUGGUGGCCAACAAGACCCUCAGAGACCAGUUGGCCAAGGUGGUCCAGGUGGUCCUCAUGGUCCAGCAGGCCAACAAGACCCAGAUGGGC